RNAcentral lists this long non-coding RNA (260 nucleotides) under Hordeum vulgare. RNAcentral describes it as "long non-coding RNA (HVUL_LNC010473)". The record is from RNAcentral. Lineage: Eukaryota; Viridiplantae; Streptophyta; Magnoliopsida; Poales; Poaceae.
UUAUCAAUCCAGAUAGUGAAGUUUAUUUUAAUGACCUCAACAGUCAACACCCCCUCUUCCAGUAUCCCUAAAACAACAACCACAUAAAAUUAUUUUUACAUGGAAAAUACAUGAAAAGUGGAUCACAAAGGCAGAGGAGGAAACAAUACAAGACUCGGUAACUCACUUGACCAAGAAUAUUUUCUAGGAAGGACUUCAUCAUACCACGUAGGACACUGUUUAUUGCUGCCAUCAAGUAAUGCCUACAUAGUAUAUUUUAU